RNAcentral lists this ribosomal RNA (465 nucleotides) under uncultured bacterium. RNAcentral describes it as "partial 16S ribosomal RNA". It matches the Rfam family "Bacterial small subunit ribosomal RNA", at positions 28 to 507 of the family's 1533-position model. The record is from RNAcentral.
GAUGAACGCUGGCGGCGUGCUUAACACAUGCAAGUCGAACGGAAAGGCUCCUGCUUGCAGGGGUACUCGAGUGGCGAACGGGUGAGUAACACGUGGGUGAUCUGCCCUGCACUUCGGGAUAAGCCUGGGAAACUGGGUCUAAUACCGGAUAGGACGAUGGUUUGGAUGCCAUUGUGGAAAGUUUUUCGGUGUGGGAUGAGCUCGCGGCCUAUCAGCUUGUUGGUGGGGUAAUGGCCUACCAAGGCGUCGACGGGUAGCCGGCCUGAGAGGGUGUACGGCCACAUUGGGACUGAGAUACGGCCCAGACUCCUACGGGGGGCAGCAGUGGGGAAUAUUGCACAAUGGGCGCAAGCCUGAUGCAGCGACGCCGCGUGGGGGAUGACGGCCUUCGGGUUGUAAACUCCUUUCGCUAGGGACGAAGCGCAAGUGACGGUACCUGGAGAAGAAGCACCGGCUAACUACGUG